CGGAGGAUCCAAGCGUUAUCCGGAAUCAUUGGGUUUAAAGGGUCCGUAGGCGGUCUUGUAAGUCAGUGGUGAAAGCCCAUCGCUCAACGGUGGAACGGCCAUUGAUACUGCAGGACUUGAAUUAUUAGGAAGUAACUAGAAUAUGUAGUGUAGCGGUGAAAUGCUUAGAUAUUACAUGGAAUACCAAUUGCGAAGGCAGGUUACUACUAAUUGAUUGACGCUGAUGGGCGAAAGCGUGGGGAGCGAACAGGAUUAGAUACCCUGGUAGUCCACGCCGUAAACGAUGGAUACUAGCUGUUGGGGGCAACUUCAGUGGCUAAGCGAAAGUGAUAAGUAUCCCACCUGGGGAGUACGUUCGCAAGAAUG
This 366-nucleotide ribosomal RNA is filed under the name uncultured organism. Its description in RNAcentral is "bacterial SSU rRNA". It matches the Rfam family "Bacterial small subunit ribosomal RNA", at positions 526 to 896 of the family's 1533-position model. The record is from RNAcentral.